GAAUUUAAAAUUCGGCUACCGUAGAAGGCAGGAGUCCUAUGGACUUAAAAUAAUCCUGCAGAGGUGGAUGACUAAGAAAUUUUAGGUCGUUCCACUUUUGGUACGACCUUUUUUAUAUCACC
Peptostreptococcaceae bacterium oral taxon 113 is the source of this 122-nucleotide regulatory RNA element. It matches the Rfam family "Ribosomal protein L10 leader". From Rfam's summary of the family: This family is a putative r-protein leader autoregulatory structure found in B. subtilis and other low-GC Gram-positive bacteria. It is located in the 5' untranslated regions of mRNAs encoding ribosomal proteins L10 and L12 (rplJ-rplL). The record is from Rfam. NCBI's taxonomy places the organism in Bacteria, Bacillati, Bacillota, Clostridia, Peptostreptococcales, Peptostreptococcaceae.